AGGAUGAACGCUAGCGGCAGGCUUAACACAUGCAAGUCGAGGGGCAGCACGUCUUCGGAUGGUGGCGACCGGCGCACGGGUGAGUAACGCGUAUGCAAUCUACCUUUUACUGGGGCAUAGCCCGGGGAAACCCGGAUUAAUAUCCCAUGGUACCAUGAUAUAGCAUUAUAUUAUGGUUAAAGCUUUGGCGGUAAAAGAUGAGCAUGCGUCCUAUUAGCUUGAUGGUAAGGUAACGGCUUACCAUGGCUAUGAGUAGGUAGGGGUCCUGGAGAGGGACGACCCCCCACACUGGUACUGAGACACGGACCAGACUCCGUACGGGAGCAGCAGUGAGAAUAUUGGACAAGUGGGCGAGAGCCUAGCUCCACGCCAUCGCCGCGGUUAGCCGAAGGGUAACGGACCGG
This 404-nucleotide ribosomal RNA is filed under the name uncultured soil bacterium. RNAcentral describes it as "bacterial SSU rRNA". It matches the Rfam family "Bacterial small subunit ribosomal RNA", at positions 26 to 426 of the family's 1533-position model. The record is from RNAcentral.